AACGAACGCUGGCGGCAGGCUUAACACAUGCAAGUCGAACGGCUGUAGCAAUACAGCAGUGGCAGACGGGUGAGUAACACGUGGGAACCUUCCUAGGGGUACGGAACAACUCAGGGAAACUUGAGCUAAUACCGUAUACGUCCGUAAGGAGAAAGAUUCAUCGCCCCUAGACGGGCCCGCGUCGGAUUAGGUAGUUGGUGGGGUAACGGCCUACCAAGCCUGCGAUCCGUAGCUGAUCUGAGAGGAUGAUCAGCCACACUGGGACUGAGACACGGCCCAGACUCCUACGGGAGGCAGCAGUGGGGAAUUGU
RNAcentral lists this ribosomal RNA (311 nucleotides) under uncultured bacterium. Its description in RNAcentral is "bacterial SSU rRNA". It matches the Rfam family "Bacterial small subunit ribosomal RNA", at positions 29 to 365 of the family's 1533-position model. The record is from RNAcentral.